GUUAAUGCUCCCUCUGAGGCAAGCUACCCGAAGGGGCAACUGGAACUUAAUGCAAUGCGCUUGGCAGAUGUCUUCUCAGAUGAUUCAAAUUUUAGGUCAUUCAUCAUGAUAAACUUUGAGCUUGGAAAGGAGUGGACAGAACAACUAGCUUCCUAUAUUGGACUCUCAAACCAAAUGAAAUGCAUGUAUUUGGUGUAUAGUGUGUGGAUCUGUUUAUAGUGUUUGUAAUAUAUGUAUAAUGUGUGUAGUGCAUGUGUUUUCUUAGCAUGCA
Long non-coding RNA from Salvia splendens (bonfire salvia), 271 nucleotides. RefSeq lists it as uncharacterized. The transcript is spliced from 2 exons. The record is from RefSeq and is a predicted model, not a curated record. NCBI's taxonomy places the organism in Eukaryota, Viridiplantae, Streptophyta, Magnoliopsida, Lamiales, Lamiaceae.